Molecule: ribosomal RNA, 905 nt
Filed under: Aspergillus flavus var. flavus
Lineage: Eukaryota; Fungi; Ascomycota; Eurotiomycetes; Eurotiales; Aspergillaceae
Description: LSU rRNA
Rfam family: Eukaryotic large subunit ribosomal RNA
Source: RNAcentral
AUACCCGCUGAACUUAAGCAUAUCAAUAAGCGGAGGAAAAGAAACCAACCGGGAUUGCCUCAGUAACGGCGAGUGAAGCGGCAAGAGCUCAAAUUUGAAAGCUGGCUCCUUCGGGGUCCGCAUUGUAAUUUGCAGAGGAUGCUUCGGGUGCGGCCCCUGUCUAAGUGCCCUGGAACGGGCCGUCAGAGAGGGUGAGAAUCCCGUCUGGGAUGGGGUGUCCGCGCCCGUGUGAAGCUCCUUCGACGAGUCGAGUUGUUUGGGAAUGCAGCUCUAAAUGGGUGGUAAAUUUCAUCUAAAGCUAAAUACUGGCCGGAGACCGAUAGCGCACAAGUAGAGUGAUCGAAAGAUGAAAAGCACUUUGAAAAGAGAGUUAAAAAGCACGUGAAAUUGUUGAAAGGGAAGCGCUUGCGACCAGACUCGCCUCCAGGGUUCAGCCGGCAUUCGUGCCGGUGUACUUCCCUGGGGGCGGGCCAGCGUCGGUUUGGGCGGCCGGUCAAAGGCUCCCGGAAUGUAGUGCCCUCCGGGGCACCUUAUAGCCGGGAGUGCAAUGCGGCCAGCCUGGACCGAGGAACGCGCUUCGGCACGGACGCUGGCAUAAUGGUCGUAAACGACCCGUCUUGAAACACGGACCAAGGAGUCUAACAUCUACGCGAGUGUUCGGGUGUCAAACCCGUACGCGCAGUGAAAGCGAACGGAGGUGGGAGCCCCCUCGUGGGGCGCACCAUCGACCGAUCCUGAUGUCUUCGGAUGGAUUUGAGUAAGAGCGUAAAUGUGGGGACCCGAAAGAUGGUGAACUAUGCCUGAAUAGGGCGAAGCCAGAGGAAACUCUGGUGGAGGCUCGCAGCGGUUCUGACGUGCAAAUCGAUCGUCAAAUUUGGGUAUAGGGGCGAAAGACUAAUCGAACC